This 1242-nucleotide ribosomal RNA is filed under the name metagenome. RNAcentral describes it as "bacterial LSU rRNA". It matches the Rfam family "Bacterial large subunit ribosomal RNA", at positions 1564 to 2816 of the family's 2925-position model. The record is from RNAcentral.
UGAAUACGAGAUGCUACGGCGUCGAAGCAGUCUAUGUCAUACUUCCAAGAAAAGCUUGCACUGUCAUAAACAAAUAAUGCCUGUACCAUAACCGACACAGGUGGGUAGGUAGAGUAUACUAAGGGGCGCGAGAUAACUCUCUCUAAGGAACUCGGCAAAAUGACUCCGUAACUUCGGGAGAAGGAGUGCCUUAUUUAUAAGGUUGCAAUAACAAGAUCCAAGCAACUGUUUACCAAAAACACAGGUCUCCGCUAAGUCGUAAGACGAUGUAUGGGGGCUGACGCCUGCCCAGUGCCAGAAGGUUAAAGAAGUUGGUUAGCAUCCGCGAAGCUGAUAACUGAAGCCCUGGUGAACGGCGGCCGUAACAAUAACGGUCCUAAGGUAGCGAAAUUCCUUGUCGGGUAAGUUCCGACCCGCACGAAAGGCGUAAUGAUUUGGAUACUGUCUCGGAGAGGGGCUCGGUGAAAUAGACUUGUCUGUGAAGAUGCGGACUACCUGCACCAGGACAGAAAGACCCUAUGAAGCUUUACUGUAACCUGAAAUUGAAAUUGGACUUUACUUGCGCAGUAUAGGUGGGAGGCGUUGAGAAUAUUCUUGCGGGAUUAUUGGAGCCAUCAGUGAGAUACCACUCUUGUAAUGUUAGAUUUCUAACUUUGUAUCAUUAUCUGGUCAAAGAACAGUUUCAGGCGGGCAGUUUGACUGGGGCGGUCGCCUCCUAAACGGUAACGGAGGCGCACAAAGGUUUCCUCUGAACGGGUAGAAAUCGUAUCUAGAGUGUAAAGGCAUAAGGAAGCUUGACUGUGAGACCUACAAGUCGAGCAGGGACGAAAGUCGGUCUUAGUGAUCUGACGGUGCUGAGUGGAAAGGCCGUCACUCAACGGAUAAAAGUUACUCUAGGAUAACAGGCUGAUCUCCCCCAAGAGUUCACAUCGACGGGGAGGUUUGGCACCUCGAUGUCGGCUCAUCGCAUCCUGGGGCGGUAGUACGUCCCAAGGGUUGGGCUGUUCGCCCAUGAAAGCGGUACGCGAGCUGGGUUCAGAACGUCGUGAGACAGUACGGUCCAUAUCCGGUGUAGGCGUUAGAAUAUUGAGAGGAGCCUUCUUUAGUACGAGAGGACCGAGAAGGACAUACCUCUGGUGUACCAGUUAUCGUGCCAACGGUAAACGCUGGGUAGCUAUGUGUGGAGUGGAUAACCGCUGAAAGCAUCUAAGUGGGAAGCCCACCUCAAGAUAAGUAUUCUCA